GGAUGAAGAAACUGAGGCCCACAGAAGGUGGGUGAUACCUGCAAAAUCACAAACUUUCAUGGUGAAAGAAGAGGGCAAAACUCAACCCAUCUCUUUAGACUUGGGAAGAAUAUGAAAGGACCAGGAGGGACACCUUUCCUAAUAACCUAGCUGAUGGUUCACUUAUUGUAAGCACAUUCUCAAACAAGGUGACAAUUAGGUUCAAAUAUCGUCUUUGAAACACAAAGUAGAUCUUACCCUUUUUAUCCUCCUAUUGCUAGUUUAGCUUCUACUGUUAGAAAGUUGAUUCUUAAUGUAAUAUUUGUCUAAGGGUCUGUUAUAGGAGUCCUAAACAGAUAUAUCAGCCAUUUUAUAGUCCUAAAUGCAAGCCAGGAAAGAGCUAGAGAUAAAAGCAAAGAUGUUAAUUUAUGUAAAGUACUUAGCAUGGUUCCUGGCAAGAAUAACAAGUCAAUAAAUGAUAUUAAUAAUAAUACUAAUACUGUAAAUAAUACCUAACAAGGCUAUUUUUCUUAUUAUUUUUAAAAUUCAUACAGUCUCUAAAAUCUUCAGUUAACUUGUUCCUCUCACAGUGUUCCAUACUACACCCUGGAGACACUGAUCAAGCAGAGAACUGUGUUUACUUGAUUGUCUGAAACAGCAGGCCGACAUAGCAGUUGCAAGCAUCUUGAGCAAUUCUAUUCCAUAUAGAGACAUAAGAAGCCGAGAGAAAGAGACACAAUACAU
RNAcentral lists this non-coding RNA (723 nucleotides) under Pongo abelii (Sumatran orangutan). The record is from RNAcentral. Lineage: Eukaryota; Metazoa; Chordata; Mammalia; Primates; Hominidae.